Molecule: long non-coding RNA, 1012 nt
Organism: Rosa chinensis
Lineage: Eukaryota; Viridiplantae; Streptophyta; Magnoliopsida; Rosales; Rosaceae
Exons: 3
Source: RefSeq, a predicted model, not a curated record
UUUCGUGCUUCGUCAAUUCGUCUUAUCCCCAACCGAGUAGAACAUGAGCUCGAUACUGAUCUCCUGUGAGUUCGAAUUGGAGAUGGAUUUGUCGACACAAUCUGAUUGGAAGUAAUUGAAAUUGGGGGCUGGAAUAGAACCCGUGUGCAAGAUGAGGUCGUGGCCGGCUUCACAGGAACAGAAAUUCCAACGUUCUGCUGCAUUUGGCUUCUGGGAAAAAACUCGUGUAAGUACGGGAGCUGUGGUGGCAUAAAUUCGAGAGUUCCAGAAUUUGAUUCAACGAUGAGUCUUUCGUCCUUUUCUUUUAGUUUCUUUGUACCAAAAACAAUUUUAUUUAUACCAAAAACAAUUUCCUUGUGCUUUGACAACUCCUAUUGCUGCAACUUUAAGGAUUUUAAAUUUGAUAAACCCUUUUGUGCAGGUAUAAAAGGCGAGGACAACAACUGCAGUCAAGACUCCAGAGUUUCAAUUUGAGGACCAUCGGAAACGCUGCUUCGGUAUAUUCAUCUGGACGCUGCCAGGCAUGGUUCAUCGGAGACACUGCUCCGGCAUGUUCAUCGCAGACGCUGCUCUGGCAUGUUCAUCGCAGACGCUGCUCCGGCAUGUUUUCCUUUUGCUUAGCAUCGUUGACAAACCUGUGAACACAAAAGAAAGUGAAGAUCAUGGAAGAGAGGAAGUCUCAACCUUUGUGAUAAAAGCACGCUGUUGAAUUCUUCUUGCUUGCCGCAGGGCCUCGGCUCUCUUCUUCUCUUUUUUCUGUGUCCUCCACAUCAAUAUUGCUAGCUUUAUAUAGUAGACUGAUGGAGAGAAUAACGUGAAUGUUGUUGACUCCCACAUGAAAUGAAAUAGCUAGAGUCUCCUUUCUUCAAGGCUCUUGAAGAUAAAUUGUCCUUAUCUUUGAUUGAGACGUUCUCCUGCUACUCUUAUUCUUUCUCUUUCUUUCUUUUUUAUCAUUACUUGGCUGGAACUUUAUCUUAUAUAAUAAAGAAACUAGCAAAGUGUAGCACGUCAU